RNAcentral lists this transfer RNA (86 nucleotides) under Rhodobacterales bacterium. RNAcentral's name for it is "tRNA-Leu". It matches the Rfam family "tRNA". Rfam says of the family: Transfer RNA (tRNA) molecules are approximately 80 nucleotides in length. Their secondary structure includes four short double-helical elements and three loops (D, anti-codon, and T loops). Further hydrogen bonds mediate the characteristic L-shaped molecular structure. tRNAs have two regions of fundamental functional importance: the anti-codon, which is responsible for specific mRNA codon recognition, and the 3' end, to which the tRNAs corresponding amino acid is attached (by aminoacyl-tRNA synthetases). tRNAs cope with the degeneracy of the genetic code in two manners: having more than one tRNA (with a specific anti-codon) for a particular amino acid; and 'wobble' base-pairing, i.e. permitting non-standard base-pairing at the 3rd anti-codon position. The record is from RNAcentral. RNAcentral also lists the same sequence under 2 other names. Lineage: Bacteria; Pseudomonadati; Pseudomonadota; Alphaproteobacteria; Rhodobacterales.
GCCCAUGUGGCGGAAUGGUAGACGCAGGGGAUUCAAAAUCCCCCGCCCUAACGGGUGUGCCGGUUCGAGUCCGGCCAUGGGUACCA